UCGAAGGGUGUGCUACUACCGCAUAAUCUCUGAGGAGAAAAGCAGGGGAUUCGCAAGCACCUUGCGCUUUCGGAGCGGCCGAUGUCUGAUUAGCUAGUUGGUGAGGUAAAGGCUCACCUAGGCAUCGAUCAGUAGCUGGUCUGAGAGGACGACCAGCCACACUGGGACUGAGACACGGCUCGGACUCCUACGGGAGGCAGCAGUGGGGAAUUGUGGACAAUGGGGGCAACCCUGAUCCAGCCAUGCCGCGUGAGUGAAGAAGGCCUUCGGGUUGUAAAGCUCUUUCAGCCGGAACGAAACGAUCACGGCCAAUACUCGUGACUAAUGACGGUACCGGAAGAAGAAGCACCGGCUAACUACGUGCCAGCAGCCGCGGUAAUACGUAGGGUGCGAGCGUUAAUCGGAAUUACUGGGCGUAGAGCGUGCGCAGGCGGGUUUGUAAGUCAGAUGUGAAAUCCCCGGGCUAAACCUGGGAACUGC
RNAcentral lists this ribosomal RNA (480 nucleotides) under uncultured bacterium. RNAcentral's name for it is "bacterial SSU rRNA". It matches the Rfam family "Bacterial small subunit ribosomal RNA", at positions 151 to 624 of the family's 1533-position model. The record is from RNAcentral.